RNAcentral lists this transfer RNA (76 nucleotides) under Xanthomonas phage XbC2. RNAcentral's name for it is "tRNA-Met". It matches the Rfam family "tRNA". Rfam says of the family: Transfer RNA (tRNA) molecules are approximately 80 nucleotides in length. Their secondary structure includes four short double-helical elements and three loops (D, anti-codon, and T loops). The record is from RNAcentral. Lineage: Duplodnaviria; Heunggongvirae; Uroviricota; Caudoviricetes.
UGCGGAGUAGAGCAGCAUGGUCAGCUUGCCAGGCUCAUAACCUGGAGGUCGGUGGUUCAAAUCCAUCCUCCGCAUC